AGAGAGAGACAUGCGCGCAUAUCAAUAAGCGGAGGAAAAGAAACUAACAAGGAUUCCCUUAGUAACGGCGAGUGAAGCGGGAAGAGCUCAAAUUUGAAAUCUUCAAGGUUUUACCUUGACGAAUUGUAGUUUAAAGAAGUGUUUUCUGCUGAAGUUUUGGUAAAAGUUCUUUGGAAUAGGACAUCAUAGAGGGUGAGGAUCCCGUAUUUGACCAUUAUUUUCAGCUUUGUGAUACACUUUCAAAGAGUCGGAUUGUUUGGGAAUGCAGUCCAAAAUGGGUGGUAAAUUUCAUCUAAAGCUAAAUACUGGCGAGAGACCGAUAGGCGAACAAGUACCGUGAGGGAAAGAUGAAAAGAACUUUGAAAAGAGAGUUAAACAGUACGUGAAAUUGUCAAAAGGGAAGCGUUUGACACCAGUGUUGUUUUCUCGAAAAUCAAUUAAAAAUGGCUCGAUUUUGUAUUGUUGAGACCUUAAAAGCUCACUGUACAUUUUUCGUGUCUUUUUUAAUGCACUUUUCGUUUAACAAGUCAACAUCAGUUUCUUUUGUUGUAAAAGGGUCAUUGGAAGGUGGCUUUCUUUUCGGAGAAAGUGUUUAUAGCCUUUGGCCUCUGCAAUCGGAGAGACUGAGGUCUGCAGCGUAGACUCUUCGGGGUUAGAUACAUUUGUGUUAAGUUAUAGCUUUUUAUAGACAACUUGUUGACUAUAAUUAGUCUUGUAGCUUACUCGCUUAUGCUAUUUUACCUACGCUUAGGAUGUUGAGUCGUAGAGCACGCAG
RNAcentral lists this ribosomal RNA (775 nucleotides) under uncultured Neocallimastigales. RNAcentral describes it as "partial large subunit ribosomal RNA". It matches the Rfam family "Eukaryotic large subunit ribosomal RNA", at positions 23 to 634 of the family's 3401-position model. Lineage: Eukaryota; Fungi; Neocallimastigomycota; Neocallimastigomycetes; Neocallimastigales. The record is from RNAcentral.